UACAGAGGUGGCAAGCGUUGUUCGGAAUUACUGGGCGUAAAGGGCGCGUAGGCGGCCUUCUAAGUCAGACGUGAAAUCCCCCGGCUUAACCUGGGAACUGCGUCUGAUACUGGAGGGCUUGAGUAUGGGAGAGGGAUGUAGAAUUCCAGGUGUAGCGGUGAAAUGCGUAGAUAUCUGGAGGAAUACCGGUGGCGAAGGCGGCAUCCUGGACCAUUACUGACGCUGAGGCGCGAAAGCGUGGGGGAGCGAACAGG
Molecule: ribosomal RNA, 254 nt
Filed under: uncultured bacterium
Lineage: Bacteria
Description: partial 16S ribosomal RNA
Rfam family: Bacterial small subunit ribosomal RNA
Source: RNAcentral